GAUGAACGCUGGCGGCGUGCCUAAUACAUGCAAGUCGAGCGAACGGACGAGAAGCUUGCUUCUCUGAUGUUAGCGGCGGACGGGUGAGUAACACGUGGAUAACCUACCUAUAAGACUGGGAUAACUUCGGGAAACCGGAGCUAAUACCGGAUGAUAUUUUGAACCGCAUGGUUCAAAAGUGAAAGACGGUCUUGCUGUCACUUAUAGAUGGAUCCGCGCUGCAUUAGCUAGUUGGUAAGGUAACGGCUUACCAAGGCAACGAUGCAUAGCCGACCUGAGAGGGUGAUCGGCCACCCUGGAACUGAGACACGGUCCAGACUCCUACGGGAGGCAGCAGUAGGGAAUCUUCCGCCAUGGGCGAAAGCCUGACGGAGCAACGCCGAGUGAGUGAUGAAGGUCUUCGGAUCGUAAAACUCUGUUAUUAGGGAAGAACAUAUGUGUAAGUAACUGUGCACAUCUUGACGGUACCUAAUCAGAAAGCCACGGCUAACUACGUG
Molecule: ribosomal RNA, 497 nt
Filed under: uncultured bacterium
Lineage: Bacteria
Description: partial 16S ribosomal RNA
Rfam family: Bacterial small subunit ribosomal RNA
Source: RNAcentral